UCCUACGGGAGGCAGCAGUAAGGGAUAUUGGUCAAUGGGGGAAACCCUGAACCAGCAACGCCGCGUGAGGGAAGACGGUUUUCGGAUUGUAAACCUCUGUCCUCUGUGAAGAUGAUGACGGUAGCUAAGGAGCAAGCCACGGCUAACUACGUGCCAGCAGCCGCGGUAAUACGUAGGUGGCAAGCGUUGUCCGGAAUUACUGGGUGUAAAGGGAGCGCAGGCGGGAAGCCAAGUCAGCUGUGAAAACUACGGGCUUAACUUGUAGACUGCAGUUGAAACUGGUUUUCUUGAGUGAAGUAGAGGUU
RNAcentral lists this ribosomal RNA (305 nucleotides) under uncultured bacterium. Its description in RNAcentral is "bacterial SSU rRNA". It matches the Rfam family "Bacterial small subunit ribosomal RNA", at positions 337 to 659 of the family's 1533-position model. The record is from RNAcentral.